UACGUAGGGUGCGAGCGUUAAUCGGAAUUACUGGGCGUAAAGCGUGCGCAGGCGGUCCGCAAAGUCUGAUGUGAAAGCCCCGGGCUCAACCUGGGAACUGCAUUGGAAACUAACGGGCUCGAGUGUGGCAGAGGGGGGUGGAAUUCCACGUGUAGCAGUGAAAUGCGUAGAGAUGUGGAGGAACACCGAUGGCGAAGGCAGCCCCCUGGGCUAACACUGACGCUCAGGCACGAAAGCGUGGGGAGCGAUCCGG
RNAcentral lists this ribosomal RNA (253 nucleotides) under uncultured bacterium. RNAcentral describes it as "partial 16S ribosomal RNA". It matches the Rfam family "Bacterial small subunit ribosomal RNA", at positions 524 to 776 of the family's 1533-position model. The record is from RNAcentral.